CCCCUCUCAGGAUGGCACCUGGAGAGUUUCCAGAACUCUACCAGUCUCAGCUACGGGAGGGAGAGUCAAGCAGACCCAUUCCAUUCCUAGCUUGGCCAGUGGCUAGCGAGUGGAAGGCCAUCCGUUACAAGU
Molecule: non-coding RNA, 132 nt
Organism: Ornithorhynchus anatinus (platypus)
Lineage: Eukaryota; Metazoa; Chordata; Mammalia; Monotremata; Ornithorhynchidae
Source: Rfam